This is a long non-coding RNA of Eufriesea mexicana, 3812 nucleotides long. RefSeq lists it as uncharacterized. The transcript is spliced from 3 exons. The record is from RefSeq and is a predicted model, not a curated record. Lineage: Eukaryota; Metazoa; Arthropoda; Insecta; Hymenoptera; Apidae.
CUGGGGUCUGAUUGGAAGAAACAAGAGAUCGACAGAAAUGGGAAACGUGACAGAAUGUCCGAACGAUGCACAGCUGAAUUAACGGGUUCGAAUUCUUGGCACAGCUCGAAAACGUAGGCACGUAGUCACGUACGGUUGGGAAUCACUGCACCAGAGUUCUCUCGAGCUCGUGUCGGAAUAUAUGUAGCUACGUGUAUAGAUAAACACAUGGAGAGAGAAGUGGAGACGAUACAUGCAUCCGUGCUUCAGAAUGCACACAUGUCCAGGUGUGUGUACAUAUAUGUAUGUGUGAGUAGCUAAGUGCACGUUGUGCGCGGUUCUAAGAAAAGAAAGAGGGUAAACAGAGACGAGGAGACGGGGCGGGACAAAAAAAAUCUCGUCGUCGAUAAAUUCGCUAGAAUCUCCGACGAAAGGUAGAAGAGGGUGCAAGAAAAGAGGGAGGAGUGAACAAGCUGCGAGUAUCACGUUGAUUAUCUGUACUCUUGGAAGUGCGUACUCUCGUGCACCGAUGUUAUAUGUACGGUGUGAAACGGAGUGGUGCAUUGUAAUGAAACACGGAAGAAAGUUAAGGGCCCAUCGAUCGUUUAAGCCCUCCGCGCGCUUGCUCGAAUACACGAGCCAGUUAGAAGAAAAAACCCGACAACAUGGACAAAUUCUCGCAUUAAUCCUUACCCAACGGACAAAAUUACCGAACAAUAUCGUUUAACGGUAGCGGCUGGUAUCUAUGGUAUCAAAGAACAACGUUCAAAAGAUGAGGUUCACAGUCAAUGUGCUGGGUCAACGUUCAGGUUCGUACGAAUACAGGUGAAAAAGCGGCUACAAUCGAUCUCCUUCUUUCUGCCUUCGUUGUUUCGUUAUUUCAGAGAGAAAGAGACAUAUCUUCUCUAGAUACGGGACAUAGGAUGAAGAGAGAUCUGACCUUGUCCAGUGAAUUAAACGACAUCGCGAAUACCUCCACGAAGAAUAGAUGUCGGUGUCUUUUUUAAUUAAAAUUCCUUCGUUAUACGUUGAACGUGGAGAAGCGAAGGAGAGAAAGGAGAGGAGGAGAAGAUAGCAGGAAAGGAAAAGGGACUGCUAGGAAGAUGAGAAGGAGCGGUUGUAUGCGAGAGAGAGCUUUUAAUUAACUAUCGGCGCGAAUGUUUGUUACCGUUUGAAGGAGAACCCGGCUAUACCAAGGAGGGAAAACCGUGAAACGAGAACCUAGACUUCGUUCUUCGACCAUUAUGGAACCACGUUUCAACGCUUAUACCUGGAUACGCGAGGAAAUAAGCCAAGACUAUGGCGAAAGUUGAAACAUCAUAAACUAUAGGACACGCUAAACCCAAGACUCCGGAGCUAACACCGAGGCACAAGGGAGGUAUUUCAACGGUGUUAUUAUUGGCUUUCGGCCCUGCACACACGUGACUCUUCGCUGCUGCCAGAAAAUCGAGAAAAGCCACUAAACUACGGAAACGAACAGGGUAAAAAGGAGGGAGAGACCUUUCGAGAAGUCCCUCGGAUACCUCGUUACUGACCUUUAAACGCGCGUUACGCUAUCACGGUACACCAUCGUCAAUCGAACACGCACAUCGUCAUAAGGAUCACAGGUAUCACGAGCGAGAUCGAGCGUGAACAAUUUGGACGAGCGUUGAUUCGACGAGACGGGCACGAACGUGCUGGUCACGUCACGUCUAUAAGCAUCGCCGCGACCGCGAGCUUCGCCGAGACUGUUGUCCUCCUUGUUCAUGCCAGAAGCGCUGGCUUUCGCCGUUUGCCUCUGCCUCUACUACUGCUGCUACCGCUGCCAUUCACCACCAUGAUCUCGCACGAUUCGUCGCUCGUUUCAUCUUCUCCCUCGACCUCCUACUGUCGUUCCUAUCGCUACUACUAGCGUUACGCUUGAUCCCGUUGCUGCAGCAGGCGACCGACUCUAGCGAACAGCCGUAUCGCAUAGCGAAACGUACGGACACUCGAAACUAGCAUAUACGCGGUUCCUAAUAAAUCACUACUCGGCUUAUACGUCCCUCGCGGGUACACUGUAAAAAUGGUAGGAAAUUGUUUCUUUUUUUCUUUUUUUUUCUUUUUUAUUUUUUUCAAUAACACACAAUGGCACCACGUAAGUUUGUCCGGAAGUUUCUCGCGGUAGGAAGACGGCCACUGUCACGGGGACUUGCCACUAUCGUGGAAGAGACGGUGGUAAUACGGUUAGCAUCGGGAAGAGUUUCUCGCGCACAGGGGUGGUUGUCAACAGCGCCCGAGGUAGGCAACCGGACUGACUCGCGCUGCACGGUGUCGGCGACAGACAGCGCGACCACCGAGGAGACAGAGAUCGACGGUCGAUUCGGCUGCACGCAAAGGAGAUGAAACGAGAGAGAAAAUCCGCGAGAGGCGACGGUGGCGGCCACCGAGGUAGAUCGUAUGCGAGAGAAAGGGUGGUGUAUGGUGGGGAGAAGGCUCGAUGGGGGUGGUCGAGGAUGGUAGGGGUGGAAGCUGGGAAGGGGAAACGUGGCUUUGAGAGGAAAGGCAGCAGUGGUGGAAAAUCUGUGGUCGCGGAUGUGGCGAGGGGUAAGAAGGGUGUACGAGUAGCAAGAAAGAAAAGGGACAGUGGUGGAAGGAAGAAAGUUGGAUAGGAAAGUGGGAUGUAUAGUGACCGGAGAAGGAGAAGAGUGCGAGAGGGAGAAGGUUGGAAAUCUGUAAGAGUACACGGGUUGAAAGGUGGGAGGGUAAUGUUGUAAGUAGAAUUGGGAGAGAUUGGUCAGAAAAUAGGAAAAAAGCACGAGUGUGAAAGAAACAAAACGAUAAAACAAAAUGGUAGCGAGAAACAUCGGUGAGGAGAAGAGAGAGAAGUACGAAAGGGGAAGGUAAUAAAAGGAGGCUGCCAGGCAUGGAUUCGAGCGAGAAGGAAAUAACUAGAAUACCUCAGAAGAUACAAGGAAUGCGAGGGAUGAGUGAAAGAAUGGAUAACGAAGAGGGAAGAAGGUUAACGCAAGUUCGAGAGAAAAGAGGUAAUUUGAGAAAUCUGUGAAAGAAAGACAGGAAGAAGGCCGAUAGCUAUAGGGAUAGAAUAGGAUAGAAAGUAAUGCUUCGAUGCUAGAAGGAGGAACAAUAAUUGUGAGAGAGAUAAAAGCGGUGCAUGGAAGGAAGCAGAGAAGUGUGUUGAUGAAAGGAGGGGAAACGAGGAGAAAAGGAGGGGUAACGUAUGUAGGAGAGAAUUUGAAAAGAGAAAGUUGUACGAGAUAGAAAGACGACAACGAAGAAAGUGUAGUAAGAGGGAGAAGAAAUGCAUGGAAGAGGGGAGGGGUUGUAGUGGCUGUCCGUGAAAAGCUGCGAAAGCUGACAAAGAUAACUUUACGAAAAGUGGAGCAAGAAAAAUAAACCGUACGAUAAGAGAAAAACGAAAGUACAUAUGUACUUCGAUAUGGAGGAUGCACGAAAAUAAUAAGCAGCGGGAACAAAGAUGAUUAAGAGAACCAGAUAGAAUGGAAAAUGGAAGAAUGUUAAAAGGAGAAAAUGUUUAUAAAAGAUGAACACGGAAAAUAAUCGUAAACGAGAAUAAAGCACGAUGGUAGAACGCAUGCCGGUACAAGCCGAGAAAGUUGCGGCGGGGUCGGACGAAAUAUCGCCAACGCCUUGAUCAGCCUUGGUCUGAAUGCUACGCGGUUAAUAUCUGUCGCUGGUAACGACCAGCCUGGGAAAGCUAUAAUUAAAAGUCUAGGAGAUGGUGGCCAGACCGUCGACCAGUUGUCAAAUAUGAAUACAGUUAGAUACGUGUUACCAUCCUUCGCUAAUUUUGCGCGAAUGUUAGAUCAUCGACUUUUAUAUAUAACUAAAUU